RNAcentral lists this ribosomal RNA (497 nucleotides) under uncultured bacterium. Its description in RNAcentral is "partial 16S ribosomal RNA". It matches the Rfam family "Bacterial small subunit ribosomal RNA", at positions 28 to 507 of the family's 1533-position model. The record is from RNAcentral.
GAUGAACGCUGGCGGCGUGCCUAAUACAUGCAAGUCGAGCGAACGGACGAGAAGCUUGCUUCUCUGAUGUUAGCGGCGGACGGGUGAGUAACACGUGGAUAACCUACCUAUAAGACUGGGAUAACUUCGGGAAACCGGAGCUAAUACCGGAUAAUAUUUUGAACCGCAUGGUUCAAAAGUGAAAGACGGUCUUGCUGUCACUUAUAGAUGGAUCCGCGCUGCAUUAGCUAGUUGGUAAGGUAACGGCUUACCAAGGCAACGAUGCAUAGCCGACCUGAGAGGGGGAUCGGCCACACUGGAACUUAGACACGGUCCAGACGCCUACGGGAGGCAGCAGUAGGGAAUCUUCCGCAAUGGGCGAAAGCCUGACGGAGCAACGCCGCGUGAGUGAUGAAGGUCUUCGGAUCGUAAAACUCUGUUAUUAGGGAAGAACAUAUGUGUAAGUAACUGUGCACAUCUUGACGGUACCUAAUCAGAAAGCCACGGCUAACUACGUG